Molecule: long non-coding RNA, 821 nt
Organism: Myotis daubentonii (Daubenton's bat)
Lineage: Eukaryota; Metazoa; Chordata; Mammalia; Chiroptera; Vespertilionidae
Source: RefSeq, a predicted model, not a curated record
UGACGCCGCGUUCCGGCCUCCGCCAACCCCAGCUCCGGCCCGCGACCUGGUCACGCUGAGCUGCACACCAACAUGUUUCCCCUUCAGCUCCUUGCCGAGGGCCGGCCGAGGCUUCCGGCUUCCCUCUGGCGCUGCUUUCUAGCUUCCAGAUCCGCAAUUGCAUCUCUUCGCUUCGGGGCUUGCCCUGCUGGGCCGCGACCUGAGCCGUCUUUCCCCGCCAGGACCAGCCCACUGGUAGGGGGCCGAGCGGGCACUAAGGCAGAGGGGACCGCCGCUCCCGCCCAGAAGUAGCUGGGAAGAACCAGGGAGGAGCGGACGUCUCAGGCUCUAGAGGCCAUUCCUCUAACUAAUGCCAUUCGGAUUGUGACCCAAGGACAGGAGGAUACUUUUGUCUUGAACUGGGAGAUGAAUCCCUUCUGGGUUGACCAGCAAAGCCUCCAAAAACUCUGAGCCCUUCUUGUAAAGUUUGUAGAGUGUGAUUACAAACAACAACAGACUCUAAAAUAAAACAACAGAAGUUGAACGUUACUUAUUUAUUCACGUGAAAUGCCAGUUUACUAUAGAUGCAGAAUAAGACAAAAACUGAGUGGUAACAAUAAUCCCUCAUUUCCAAGCCUUGUUUAUCAAAACAUCUUUGCCCCUAUUUCAUCUUUUGAUUUUCACUACAAAAUAGAGUAGUAGGCAGGUCAGGGAUUAUUAUUUGCAUUUACUUAAUAAAGAUUAUAAUAAUAGAUACCCUUUGCCGAAAGUUUGCCACAUGCAGGGCUCUUUGCUAGGAGUUUCCUUGCCUGUGCGUGACCUAAUUAUGUAAAAAACAAAAA